This is a long non-coding RNA of Columba livia (rock pigeon), 3576 nucleotides long. RefSeq lists it as uncharacterized. The record is from RefSeq and is a predicted model, not a curated record. The transcript has 2 exons. Lineage: Eukaryota; Metazoa; Chordata; Aves; Columbiformes; Columbidae.
CAUUCGCGUUCUCACCUCAUUUCUGUGGCGUUUCUGUUUCUGGUUCGAGUUCUUCCUGUUUCUUGCCGAACUAAGGCACUCCUGCUCAAGGACACCUCAGCAAGGAUAAGCUGCACCUCUUCGACAGUUACACUUGAAACAAUGCAAGUCAACGUGUAAAUUAGACCAUUCUAACAUUUGUAAAGUCUCAUUUAUGAUUGGAAAAAAGAAAAAACAGUGAGACAUGAAAUAUGGGCUUACUUAAAAAUAAAACAUUAAAAAUAAAGACAGAGUCCAGCGCUGCAGCCCAUCAUCGGGUGACCAGAAGGACAGGCAGGCUCGCUAACGCGGGCGGCUGCACUGCCGCGCACAGGGGAACACGCUUCUGUGACAUCUCGACUCGCACAAGCGAGAACCCAAAGCCCAGCGGUGCCACCAGCCUUUCCAAGACCUGCUGUGCUGGGCUCCGUGGAAGGGAAUGGACUUUGGUUGGCUGGUGGUUCUAAAGAGAGCCAACAGUCCUGUUGCUGAUGACUUCACCCCGGAGAUCCGUCUGAGGAAGGUUCAUAAAACGCAGCUUCUUGGAGUGAGGAAGACUGCCGUUUUGGAAGGUCUCUUUCCAGCCGAAUUCAGAAUUACGCGCUGUAGGUUAAGGAACAAGGACAUUAUCCAAGCAAUAACUCCCCAAAACCACAUCAGGACUCACUGUCGCUGGUCACAAGGCUGCUAGUGCUUCUUGGGAAAGCAGCAGACGUGCAGGGGCAAGGCCGAUCCGUGCAGGUGCCUGCGCCUCAGUCAGCUCUUCCACUACUAGCCUGAGACUUUGGAAACUUGCUGACUGAAAAAGCACAAAGUGUUCAUCAUUAGAACAGGCUGUUUCUUCUGAACAUCUGGACUCUUACAAACAGCUGGCUUUCCUGUUUCCGUUCAAAAUAAUUUCCACUCUAUCGUAUAACAGUAAGCACACAGAAACAGAAGAUAACUCCUUCAGGAAGGUAAAAUAAAGAGAGAGAAGGAAACUUUGCACAGGCGCACCAUGCUGUGGAACAGGCUUCAUUUUUAGUACUUGUGUUAAAAUAUUUCGUAUUAAAAAUACGGAAGGAGCGUCGGCGCAUUCUCCAUGUUAGCUCUAAAGUCCACUCUACAAGUACCUAAGGAAAACGCAGACACACAUCGCAGACGCACCGUCUACCCGCAGAGCGCCCUGGGUUCUGUCCGUCCGUCCUGUUCUUUCACGGCAGAAGAUGCGGCGGCCGCGGUGAGACGGCGGCAGCGGACACCCUGCUGGCAGAGGGAAACCCUCCAGCACUAAGAUGGGUGGAAUCUGAACCUUCCUUUAUUUAUUUAUUUUAAUGAAGGCUACAACGGAGUGGAGGAAAACAAGCAUAUUUUGCAGCACCUCUGGACGAGCUGUGGAUACGGGCCACCAGAGCCUUUGUGGUUUGUAGAGAACUGGGCGCCUUUUUAACUCCUCGGAAGCCCGAGUUUCCCCACAACGCGCUUUCCCAUGCACAGAUAAAAAGUAUCAAUAUCCAAAUUCCACAGAAUACACCAACCCACCUACAGCGCUGGGGUCACCACACGCCUUGCGUAGGCAGCAUCCGAACAAACCGCAGCACACCACCGCUGGGAAGAGCCUUCUCCCUGCUGAUGGGGUCUUACCCGCGUCCCAGGCCGGUCAGAUGGUCUGUGCUCCCUUCCAGGAACCCCCUGGUGCCGGCGUAAGGUCCCAGAGAUCCUGGGACCCAUGCACUACGUUCUGGGGAGGACUGAACGACAAAGCAGAAAUAAAUCGCAUAAGAAUCCUUCUCUGAAAUACGGUAGAUCAACAAUGACAGUUGUAAGUCACGGAGACUCCUCCUGUUCUCUCUGCUUCUCACAACAGUGACAAACCAGUGCCAAAGGACAGAAAACACCGGGACAGGCUGGAAACAACAACCAACCCCACGCGUCAGAAACGGUACCAGGCACCUUCGCUAACACUUGAGUGAGCCGAGCAAAAAUAACUUACAAAACCCCUCAGGAGAGCUGACAAGAAAGACAAAGGAGCCACGGAGAGCGAUACCGAGGUCCUCCCGAGAACACCGUGCAGGUCACAGAAGGUGCUUUGAAGGGACGAGCUUGGACGAGGCCACUCGUCACACAGGUGGAUUCUGGUGCCCGGAAGGAAAACGGAGGGGACUCGCCAGAGGGCACACGAAGGGCCCGGAGGGAUGCGGGAGCUGAUGGCGGUGCCCGCCAGGGCUCCAGGGCACGCUGCCGUUGGAGAGCUCCUGCAGCAACUGGAGCAACAUGAAGGGCUCCGGAUCGCAAGAAAGGCAAACAGGGGUCUCUGGGCUGCAAAAUAUACAAACAGGUCCCCAGGCAACAAGAACAUGGCGGGGGCAGCUACAAGGAAGGUAAAUGGGGGCUCUGAGGUGCCCCAAAAGACAAGCUCAGCUGUCCUGAGAGGAGCAGACAGAAAUCGGAGGAGUUCUGAGGGGAUCGGGGGCAAAAGAGGGGUCUUGAGGGGAAAAGAGGGAAAAAUGAGGCCUCUGGGACGUGCCAAGAGCAAACGGGGAAGUUUUGAGGGGAAGAGAGAAAAGAGGGGAAUUUAACGGGGCAAAAGGUCAAACAGGCACCGUGAUGCCACCAACGAGCCUGCAGGGACCCAAAGGCAGGCAGGGUGAUCGCAGAGGAACUGGGAGGAAACGGGUUUCUGAGGGAACCGGGUGGGAGUAAAAAGCUCAUGAGAGGUCCAGAGGCAAACGGAUGUGUCCUGAGGAGAGCAAAUCCAAAGCGAAGACCAGCAGCAGCAGCAUAAAGGUAAAUUGGGCUUUAAUUCUGAUCGUGUACUUAAAAGAGUCUCUCAGGCCUAUGAAUGACUGGUCCUUUUCAGGAAGGACACACGUUUUUACUUCAAAGACUGAAGACUGCACUGAACAGAAAGUGGAUUGAGUCCCAGGACAAGCCAUCCACACACGAAACAACACCGCCACACAUCGAUUCCCAUCGUGUCCCAUUCAUUAGAUUUCAACGGGCACCCAGGUGCUCAAAAGUUAAUUAUACCGACAGCACGUAUUACUGAAAAUGUAGUUAAACAAAUAAAGGGCUAUUUUCAACGUGCCUAUAAAAUUAGAACAAAGAAACAGAAGUUAAACACUUGACCCUAAAGAAAGUAACAGGCAGCUCUUAUUUAUCAUAGACUAAAGUUAAUUCUUUUACUUGAAACGUCUGCAGCUAUCAAGAGACCAAUUCAGGAACAGGGCAUGCUCUGUUAACUGUGAUUUUCCAUCAGCUGCUCUGCACUGGCAGCACAUUUGCCUUUUCUCCAGGUCUGAUGUGGAAUAUCUGUGGUGUCCUCGAACUCACACACAUUUCUCCCCAACGUCCCAGCCCAUACGUGCGAUCACCUGAGCAGCACGUGGAAUCGACCGCCCAGGAGUUUCUUCACCUGACGCGGGAUGCGGCACCGGCAAAAGAGGAGGCAAAUUGGGAGGUGAUUUCGGCUCUGCCUGCUGCAUGCUGCAGUCCGGGCUUUCGACAACGCUGUAAAUGAACUGCUGGCAAAAAAUUGAGUAUUAGGAUUAAACACCAUAGCUGUACAUUGUAUAAAUA